RNAcentral lists this long non-coding RNA (1552 nucleotides) under Linum usitatissimum (flax). RNAcentral describes it as "long non-coding RNA (LUSI_LNC006968)". The record is from RNAcentral. Lineage: Eukaryota; Viridiplantae; Streptophyta; Magnoliopsida; Malpighiales; Linaceae.
UUUGAAAAGAGGUUAAGUCUUUCAUGCUUAAAGAUCGACGAUUCUUUUUUAUGUAGGUUGCUGUUGUGGCCGUACUAUGUGUACAACCAGAACCUUUUUACCGGCCGCGCAUGACAGAUAUCGUUCACUCUUUGAUUUCGUUGGUUCCAGUUGAAUUGGGAGAGACCCUAAGGACUAACAUAGGAUGGUGAGAGUCAUGCAUUGCUCGUCAUAGUGUCUCAACAGCAGAAUCCACAAAAACCUUUCUGUUACUUUUGAUUGACCAGCUAUAAAAACGUCUACUGCAUGUUUGUAAAUUUUACCGAGAUUCUUUAAUCAUAAAUCGAUCUCUCUUUGGCUUAUUUGACAACGGUACUAAUUAGUCAGUUAAUGAUGUUUGUCACUGGAAAAAAAGGUUCAUUCUUUUAAUUUACUUUACAUUUAGACAAGUAAACAAGGGACAUUAGUAUAAUCUAUGAAAGGUCGACUUCGACUAAAUGGUAAGAUGAAAAGAGUUGGAAAUUUUGAAGCAGACUUGAUAACUAUGAUUUAUUUUAAGGAGGCUCCCAAUACAAGACACUGAUAUCGACAUAAAGGUCGUUUCCGCUCUUUAGAUAUAAGAUCUAUAGCUUUUCCUACGCUAAAAGUGAAACACGAUCUGACGUAGAAGCAAAAGCAUACACUCAAAUAAAUGGGAAGUCAGAUAGAUACCGGGUGAUACAGAGCAAAGUCAUUAUUUUAGUGACGAAAAUAAAAUCUUUGCAUGAAAAUCUAUCCACCCACAUAAUAUGCUUGUUUGCUUCUAAGCAUCUGUUGCAUGAUGCAGCUCUUUAGUUGACAUUAUGGUAGGAGUCAAUAAUGGCGUCCGCAAGAUACUCGCACUUGGCCAAAGACAGCCCAGCUAAUGAUAUCCUUCCAUCUUUCGUCAUGUAUAUGUGCCACUUAUUGGUCAUAUUAUCGCUCUGUGCAGUAAAAACACAAACUCACAUUAGCAAGUAUAUAAAUGACACAUGUAACUGAAACACUUCUAACAAGAGAAGAUUAUAGUUGGUAUGAUUUCAUCAUUCGUGGAAGUUGGAGCCAGUGGCAAUGCAAGAGUUUGUCUGAUUGUCUGUGCAAAACGCACACACAUUCUCAACUUCAGCACUAAUAAAGUAAUCAUUACUAGUCGGUCGUCACACUGAUAGCAACGCAUUAAGAACAAAACCAUCCAUUCACGUCUGAACAUAAUAUUACUGAAUGAAGGUAUUAUUGGUUGAAAAUCAGGACAACAUGAACAGUCACAUUUGUUCUUCACGCUGGUCAUAUAUAUAUCAGCACAGAUCAAACAGCAUAGUAGAUAGUAAUUAAACUAAGUGGGAUAGAUGAAGCAUUCAGUAAAUGAUGCUAUAAGAUGAUUCUAACCUUGCUGCAGUAUCUGCUGAUGAGCAGACGACAUUGAUAGCUCCAAUCCUCUCCGAAUAGAGACCUAGAUUUUUGCUGUAUGACUGAGCAACAAAAAUCUCCAUACCACGCGCAGCAAAUAGUCUUACUGAUGAUGCAUCCUCGUCAAGGCUUCCACUAGCAAAGCCCU